CUGACCUAUCAGCUUUCGACGGUACUGUAUUGGACUACCGUGGCAGUGACGGGUAACGGGGAAUUAGGGUUCGAUUCCGGAGAGGGAGCCUGAGAAACGGCUACCACAUCUAAGGAAGGCAGCAGGCGCGCAAAUUACCCAAUCCUGACUCAGGGAGGUAGUGACAAGAAAUAACAACACUGGAAAUUCUUUUUCUAGUGAUUGGAAUGAUGGGAAUCCAAACCCCUUUCAGAGUAACAAUUGGAGGGCAAGUCUGGUGCCAGCAGCCGCGGUAAUUCCAGCUCCAAUAGCGUAUAUUAAAGUUGUUGCAGUUAAAAAGCUCGUAGUUGGAUAUCUGCUGGAAGCAGCCAGUCCGCCCUUUGUGGGUGUGCACUUGGUGAAUUCUGGCAUCCUCCUGAUUGGUGUCAUCAUCACUUCAUUGUGUUGGUGGCAGCUGUCAGGACCGUUACUUUGAGAAAAUUAGAGUGUUUCAAGCAGGCUUGUUGCCUUGAAUACUGCAGCAUGGAAUAACAAGAUAGGAUUUCGGUUCUAUUUUGUUGGUUUCUAGAACUGAAGUAAUGAUUAAUAGGGACAGUUGGGGGCAUUCGUAUUUAACUGUCAGAGGUGAAAUUCUUAGAUUUGUUAAAGACGAACUACUGCGAAAGCAUUUGCCAAAGAUGUUUUCAUUAAUCAAGAACGAAAGUUAGGGGCUCGAAGACGAUCAGAUACCGUCGUAGUCUUAACCAUAAACUAUGCCGACUAGAGA
This 745-nucleotide ribosomal RNA is filed under the name Sarcocystis sp. 1 GM-2017. RNAcentral's name for it is "SSU rRNA". It matches the Rfam family "Eukaryotic small subunit ribosomal RNA", at positions 307 to 1052 of the family's 1831-position model. The record is from RNAcentral. Lineage: Eukaryota; Apicomplexa; Conoidasida; Eucoccidiorida; Sarcocystidae.